Molecule: small nuclear RNA, 163 nt
Filed under: Pogona vitticeps (central bearded dragon)
Lineage: Eukaryota; Metazoa; Chordata; Lepidosauria; Squamata; Agamidae
Description: U1 spliceosomal RNA (ENSPVIG00000015349.1)
Rfam family: U1 spliceosomal RNA
About the family: U1 is a small nuclear RNA (snRNA) component of the spliceosome (involved in pre-mRNA splicing).
Source: Rfam by way of RNAcentral
ACUCAUACCUUGCAGGGGAAAUACCAUGGUCAUGAAACUGGUUUUCCCAGGGGGAGGCUCAUUCAUUGCACUUCGGGUGUGCUGACCCCUAUGAUUUCCCCAAAUGGGGGAACUCAACUGCAUAAUUUGUGUUAAUGGGGGAUUGCAUUUCUGCUUUCUCUGG